GAAGGCCUUCGGGUUGUAAAGCUCUUUUGUCAGGGAAGAAACGGUGGGAGCUAAUAUCUCCUGCUAAUGACGGUACCUGAAGAAUAAGCACCGGCUAACUACGUGCCAGCAGCCGCGGUAAUACGUAGGGUGCAAGCGUUAAUCGGAAUUACUGGGCGUAAAGCGUGCGCAGGCGGUUUUGUAAGUCUGAUGUGAAAUCCCCGGGCUCAACCUGGGAAUUGCAUUGGAGACUGCAAGGCUAGAAUCUGGCAGAGGGGGGUAGAAUUCCACGUGUAGCAGUGAAAUGCGUAGAUAUGUGGAGGAACACCGAUGGCGAAGGCAGCCCCCUGGGUCAAGAUUGACGCUCAUGCACGAAAGCGUGGGGAGCAAACAGGAUUAGAUACCCUGGUAGUCCACGCCCUAAACGAUGUCUACUAGUUGUCGGGUCUUAAUUGACUUGGUAACGCAG
Molecule: ribosomal RNA, 448 nt
Filed under: Janthinobacterium sp.
Lineage: Bacteria; Pseudomonadati; Pseudomonadota; Betaproteobacteria; Burkholderiales; Oxalobacteraceae
Description: bacterial SSU rRNA
Rfam family: Bacterial small subunit ribosomal RNA
Source: RNAcentral